RNAcentral lists this ribosomal RNA (534 nucleotides) under uncultured bacterium. RNAcentral describes it as "partial 16S ribosomal RNA". It matches the Rfam family "Bacterial small subunit ribosomal RNA", at positions 355 to 870 of the family's 1533-position model. The record is from RNAcentral.
UGGGGAAUUUUGGACAAUGGGCGAAAGCCUGAUCCAGCAAUGCCGCGUGUGUGAAGAAGGCCUUCGGGUUGUAAAGCACUUUUGUCCGGAAAGAAAUCCUUGGCUCUAAUACAGUCGGGGGAUGACGGUACCGGAAGAAUAAGCACCGGCUAACUACGUGCCAGCAGCCGCGGUAAUACGUAGGGUGCAAGCGUUAAUCGGAAUUACUGGGCGUAAAGCGUGCGCAGGCGGUUUGCUAAGACCGAUGUGAAAUCCCCGGGCUCAACCUGGGAACUGCAUUGGUGACUGGGCAGGCUAGAGGUAUGGCAGAGGGGGGUAGAAUUCCACGUGUAGCAGUGAAAUGCGUAGGAGAUGUGGAGGAAUACCGAUGGCGAAGGCAGCCCCCUGGGCCAAAUACUGACGCUCAUGCACGAAAGCGUGGGGGAGCAAAACAGGAUUCAGAUACCCCUGGUAGUCCAGCGCCCCUAAAACGAUGUCAACUAGUUGUUGGGGGAUUCAUUUCCUUAGUAACGUAGCUAACGCGUGAAGUUGACC